GAUGAACGCUGACAGAAUGCUUAACACAUGCAAGUCGACUUGAAUAUGGGUUUUUAACUUAGGUUUGGGUGGCGGACGGGUGAGUAACGCGUAAAGAACUUGCCUCACAGCUAGGGACACCAUUUGGAAACGAAUGCUAAUACCUAAUAUUAUGAUAAUAGGGCAUCCUAUAAUUAUGAAAGCUAUAAGCGCUGUGAGAGAGCUUUGCGUCCCAUUAGCUAGUUGGAGAGGUAACGGCUCACCAAGGCGAUGAUGGGUAGCCGGCCUGGGAGGGUGAUCGGCCACAAGGGCACUGAGACACGGCCCUUACGCAUACGGGGGGCAGCAGUGGGAAAUAGUGGACAAUGGACCGAGAGUCUGAUCCAGCAAUUCUGUGUGCACGAUGAAGUUUUUCGGAAUGUAAAGUGCUUUCAGUUGGGAAGAAACAAAUGACGGUACCAACAGAAGAAGUGACGGCUAAAUACGUG
Molecule: ribosomal RNA, 467 nt
Filed under: uncultured bacterium
Lineage: Bacteria
Description: partial 16S ribosomal RNA
Rfam family: Bacterial small subunit ribosomal RNA
Source: RNAcentral